Molecule: ribosomal RNA, 225 nt
Filed under: Salmonella enterica subsp. enterica serovar Lubbock
Lineage: Bacteria; Pseudomonadati; Pseudomonadota; Gammaproteobacteria; Enterobacterales; Enterobacteriaceae
Description: partial 23S ribosomal RNA
Rfam family: Bacterial large subunit ribosomal RNA
Source: RNAcentral
UAAAGAAAGCGUAAUAGCUCACUGGUCGAGUCGGCCUGCGCGGAAGAUGUAACGGGGCUAAACCAUGCACCGAAGCUGCGGCAGCGACACUGUGUGUUGUUGGGUAGGGGAGCGUUCUGUAAGCCUGUGAAGGUGGCCUGUGAGGGUUGCUGGAGGUAUCAGAAGUGCGAAUGCUGACAUAAGUAACGAUAAAGCGGGUGAAAAGCCCGCUCGCCGGAAGACAAA